GGAAGUAAAAGUCGUAACAAGUUCUCCGUUGGUGAACCAGCGGAGGGAUCAUUACUGGAAUCGCAAGAUCCCACAACCCUGUGAACCUACCGAAACGUUGCCUCGGCGGGUGCCCGGCCUCUGCGCCGGGCGCUGCGCCCGCCGGCGGCCCCCUACUCUGUCUCUGCAGCGUGGCAUCUCAGAGUCCCAGAAAACAAGUCAAAACUUUCGACAACGGAUCUCUUGGCUCUA
RNAcentral lists this unclassified non-coding RNA (231 nucleotides) under plant metagenome. RNAcentral's name for it is "partial contains small subunit ribosomal RNA and internal transcribed spacer 1". The stretch from base 1 to 54 matches the Rfam family "Eukaryotic small subunit ribosomal RNA", at positions 1778 to 1831 of the family's 1831-position model. The record is from RNAcentral.